GGGGGGGGGCGGCCUACCAUGCAAGUCGAACGGCAGCACAGUAAGAGCUUGCUCUUAUGGGUGGCGAGUGGCGGACGGGUGAGGAAUACAUCGGAAUCUACUCUUUCGUGGGGGAUAACGUAGGGAAACUUACGCUAAUACCGCAUACGACCUACGGGUGAAAGCGGAGGACCUUCGGGCUUCGCGCGAUUGAAUGAGCCGAUGUCGGAUUAGCUAGUUGGCGGGGUAAAGGCCCACCAAGGCGACGAUCCGUAGCUGGUCUGAGAGGAUGAUCAGCCACACUGGAACUGAGACACGGUCCAGACUCCUACGGGAGGCAGCAGUGGGGAAUAUUGGACAAUGGGCGCAAGCCUGAUCCAGCCAUGCCGCGUGGGUGAAGAAGGCCUUCGGGUUGUAAAGCCCUUUUGUUGGGAAAGAAAAGCAGUCGGUUAAUACCCGAUUGUUCUGACGGUACCCAAAGAAUAAGCACCGGCUAACUUCGUGCCAGCAGCCGCGGUAAUACGAAGGGUGCAAGCGUUACUCGGAAUUACUGGGCGUAAAGCGUGCGUAGGUGGUGGUUUAAGUCUGUUGUGAAAGCCCUGGGCUCAACCUGGGAAUUGCAGUGGAUACUGGGUCACUAGAGUGUGGUAGAGGGUAGCGGAAUUCCCGGUGUAGCAGUGAAAUGCGUAGAGAUCGGGAGGAACAUCCGUGGCGAAGGCGGCUACCUGGACCAACACUGACACUGAGGCACGAAAGCGUGGGGAGCAAACAGGAUUAGAUACCCUGGUAGUCCACGCCCUAAACGAUGCGAACUGGAUGUUGGGUGCAAUUUGGCACGCAGUAUCGAAGCUAACGCGUUAAGUUCGCCGCCUGGGGAGUACGGUCGCAAGACUGAAACUCAAAGGAAUUGACGGGGGCCCGCACAAGCGGUGGAGUAUGUGGUUUAAUUCGAUGCAACGCGAAGAACCUUACCUGGUCUUGACAUCCACGGAACUUUCCAGAGAUGGAUUGGUGCCUUCGGGAACCGUGAGACAGGUGCUGCAUGGCUGUCCUCAACUCCUGUCCUGAAAUGUUGGGUUAAUUCCCCCCAACGAACCCCAACCCUUGUCCUUAUUUGCCACCCCGUAAUGGUGGGAACUCUAAGGAAACCCCCGGGGAAAAACCGGAGGAAGGUGGGGAUGACCUCAGGUCUUCUGGGCCCUUAAAACAGGGGUUAACCCCUUACUAAAAGGGGUGGGGAAGAAGGGCUGGCAACCCCCGAAGGGGAAGCCAAUCCCAAAAACCCUUUUCCCGCCCGGGAUGGGAGUCGGCACCCCCCCCCCUGAAAGGGGGAACCCCUUAAAUCCCCAAAAAA
Molecule: ribosomal RNA, 1333 nt
Filed under: Xanthomonas oryzae pv. oryzicola
Lineage: Bacteria; Pseudomonadati; Pseudomonadota; Gammaproteobacteria; Lysobacterales; Lysobacteraceae
Description: bacterial SSU rRNA
Rfam family: Bacterial small subunit ribosomal RNA
Source: RNAcentral